GUAGGGAAUCUUCCACAAUGGACGAAAGUCUGAUGGAGCAACGCCGCGUGAGUGAAGAAGGUCUUCAGAUCGUAAAACUCUGUUGUUAGAGAAGAACGUGCGUGAUAGUAACUGAUCAUGUAAUGACGGUAUCUAACCAGAAAGCCACGGCUAACUACGUGCCAGCAGCCGCGGUAAUACGUAGGUGGCAAGCGUUGUCCGGAUUUAUUGGGCGUAAAGGGAACGCAGGCGGUUUUUUAAGUCUGAUGUGAAAGCCUUCGGCUUAACCGAAGAAUAGCAUUGGAAACUGGAAGACUUGAGUGCAGAAGAGGAGAGUGGAAUUCCAUGUGUAGCGGUGAAAUGCGUAGAUAUCAGGAAGAACACCGGAGGCGAAGGCGGCUUACUGGACAAUAACUGACGUUGAGGCUCGAAAGCGUGGGAAGCAAACAGGAUUAGAAACCCGGGUAGUCC
RNAcentral lists this ribosomal RNA (450 nucleotides) under uncultured bacterium. RNAcentral's name for it is "partial 16S ribosomal RNA". It matches the Rfam family "Bacterial small subunit ribosomal RNA", at positions 354 to 796 of the family's 1533-position model. The record is from RNAcentral.